CCUACGGGAGGCUGCAGUGGGGAAUAUUGGACAAUGGGGGCAACCCUGAUCCAGCCAUGCCGCGUGUGUGAAGAAGGCCCUCGGGUUGUAAAGCACUUUCAGCGAGGAAGAACGCCUGGUGGUUAAUACCCAUCAGGAAAGACAUCACUCACAGAAGAAGCCCCGGCUAACUCCGUGCCAGCAGCCGCGGUAAUACGGAGGGUGCGAGCGUUAAUCGGAAUUACUGGGCGUAAAGCGCGCGUAGGUGGCUUGAUAAGCCGGUUGUGAAAGCCCCGGGCUCAACCUGGGAACGGCAUCCGGAACUGUCAAGCUAGAGUGCAGGAGAGGAAGGUAGAAUUCCCGGUGUAGCGGUGAAAUGCGUAGAGAUCGGGAGGAAUACCAGUGGCGAAGGCGGCCUUCUGGACUGACACUGACGCUGAGGUGCGAAAGCGUGGGUAGCGAACAGGAUUAGAUACCCGGGUAGUC
This 465-nucleotide ribosomal RNA is filed under the name Vreelandella stevensii. Its description in RNAcentral is "partial 16S ribosomal RNA". It matches the Rfam family "Bacterial small subunit ribosomal RNA", at positions 338 to 795 of the family's 1533-position model. The record is from RNAcentral. Lineage: Bacteria; Pseudomonadati; Pseudomonadota; Gammaproteobacteria; Oceanospirillales; Halomonadaceae.